AAUCAACGCUGGCGGCGUGCCUAACACAUGCAAGUCGAACGAGAAAGCGGGAGCAAUCCCGUGAGUAAAGUGGCGACCGGGUGAGUAACACGUGACUAACCUACCUUCAAGUGGGGAAUAACCUCGGGAAACCGGGGCUAAUACCGCAUAACAUCGCAGCCGUAAACGGACGGCGAUCAAAGACAGCAAUGCGCUGGAAGGAGGGGGUCGGCGGCUGAUUAGCUAGUUGGUGAGGUAAUGGCUCACCAAGGCAGUGAUCAGUAUCCGGCCUGAGAGGGCGGCACGGACACACUGGAACUGAACACGGUCCAGACUCCUACGGGAGGCAGCAGUGGGGAAUUUUGCGCAAUGGGGGAAACCCUGACGCAGCAACGCCGCGUGGAGGAUGAAGUCCCUUGGGACGUAAACUCCUUCGAACGGGACGAUAAUGACGGUACCGUAUGAAGAAGCCCCGGCUAACUUCGUGCCAGCAGCCGCAGU
Molecule: ribosomal RNA, 480 nt
Filed under: uncultured bacterium
Lineage: Bacteria
Description: bacterial SSU rRNA
Rfam family: Bacterial small subunit ribosomal RNA
Source: RNAcentral